RNAcentral lists this ribosomal RNA (1397 nucleotides) under bacterium NLAE-zl-P757. Its description in RNAcentral is "16S ribosomal RNA". It matches the Rfam family "Bacterial small subunit ribosomal RNA". The record is from RNAcentral.
AGUCGAGGGGCAGCAUUUCAGUUUGCUUGCAAACUGGAGAUGGCGACCGGCGCACGGGUGAGUAACACGUAUCCAACCUGCCGAUAACUCGGGGAUAGCCUUUCGAAAGAAAGAUUAAUACCCGAUGGUAUAAUCAGACCGCAUGGUCUUAUUAUUAAAGAAUUUCGGUUAUCGAUGGGGAUGCGUUCCAUUAGGCAGUUGGUGAGGUAACGGCUCACCAAACCUUCGAUGGAUAGGGGUUCUGAGAGGAAGGUCCCCCACAUUGGAACUGAGACACGGUCCAAACUCCUACGGGAGGCAGCAGUGAGGAAUAUUGGUCAAUGGGCGCAGGCCUGAACCAGCCAAGUAGCGUGAAGGAUGACUGCCCUAUGGGUUGUAAACUUCUUUUAUAUGGGAAUAAAGUUUUCCACGUGUGGAAUUUUGUAUGUACCAUAUGAAUAAGGAUCGGCUAACUCCGUGCCAGCAGCCGCGGUAAUACGGAGGAUCCGAGCGUUAUCCGGAUUUAUUGGGUUUAAAGGGAGCGUAGGUGGACAGUUAAGUCAGUUGUGAAAGUUUGCGGCUCAACCGUAAAAUUGCAGUUGAUACUGGCUGUCUUGAGUACAGUAGAGGUGGGCGGAAUUCGUGGUGUAGCGGUGAAAUGCUUAGAUAUCACGAAGAACUCCGAUUGCGAAGGCAGCUCACUGGACUGCAACUGACACUGAUGCUCGAAAGUGUGGGUAUCAAACAGGAUUAGAUACCCUGGUAGUCCACACAGUAAACGAUGAAUACUCGCUGUUUGCGAUAUACAGUAAGCGGCCAAGCGAAAGCAUUAAGUAUUCCACCUGGGGAGUACGCCGGCAACGGUGAAACUCAAAGGAAUUGACGGGGGCCCGCACAAGCGGAGGAACAUGUGGUUUAAUUCGAUGAUACGCGAGGAACCUUACCCGGGCUUAAAUUGCAUUUGAAUANUNUGGAAACAGNNUAGCCGCAAGGCAAAUGUGAAGGUGCUGCAUGGUUGUCGUCAGCUCGUGCCGUGAGGUGUCGGCUUAAGUGCCAUAACGAGCGCAACCCUUAUCUUUAGUUACUAACAGGUCAUGCUGAGGACUCUAGAGAGACUGCCGUCGUAAGAUGUGAGGAAGGUGGGGAUGACGUCAAAUCAGCACGGCCCUUACGUCCGGGGCUACACACGUGUUACAAUGGGGGGUACAGAAGGCAGCUACCUGGUGACAGGAUGCUAAUCCCAAAAGCCUCUCUCAGUUCGGAUCGAAGUCUGCAACCCGACUUCGUGAAGCUGGAUUCGCUAGUAAUCGCGCAUCAGCCAUGGCGCGGUGAAUACGUUCCCGGGCCUUGUACACACCGCCCGUCAAGCCAUGAAAGCCGGGGGUACCUGAAGUACGUAACCGCAAGGAGCUCCUAGG